RNAcentral lists this long non-coding RNA (4372 nucleotides) under Equus caballus (horse). RNAcentral describes it as "lncRNA (ENSECAG00000053920.1)". Lineage: Eukaryota; Metazoa; Chordata; Mammalia; Perissodactyla; Equidae. The record is from RNAcentral.
CAAAAGUAGAGUUUAUCAUAUUUGGAAAAUAAACAAACAGAUAAACACAUAGAUAAGAACAGAUUGGUGGUUCCCAGAGGGGAAGUAGGUGAGAGAAGGGCGAAAGGGGUAAAGGGGCACAUACAUAUGGUGACAGAUUAAAAACUAGACUAUUGGUGGUGAAUGUGAUGCAGUCUAUACAGAAGCUGAAAUAUAAUAACAUACACUUGAAAUUUACACAAUGUUAUAAACCAAUGUGAGCUCAAUAAAAUAAUUAAGAAAUAAAAAAGAAGUAGAGUUUCUUUCCCCUUUCCUUUAAUCUGGGCUGCCCCUGUGACUGCUUUGGCCAAUGGAAUACAGCACAAGAUGGUCGAGGAUUUCUGAUCUCAGCCUUAGAAAGACUGGCAGCUUCUGUUUCAUUCCUCUUACAUGUUUGUUCUUGGGGUGGCCCCUCUCAGAGCCUAGCCCAAACCACACAGAGGAGAACCAAGACUCUCCUGUUAGCAGCCUCAGCUGAGCAUCUAGCCAACUGCCAGCCAUGUGAACACGUCAUUUGGGAUUCCGGCCCACUUGAGCCCCAGAUGACUGCAGAUCCAAGGGACAUCAUGUGGGGCAGAAGAACCACCUAGCUGAGGCCUGUUAAACCACAGACUCACGAAAGGGUUGGCUGUGUGACUGACAGAACACAGAAGUGAUGCAUGGUAUGUUACUCCCAAAAUUAGAUUACAGAAGACCUUGUAGCUCCUGUCUUGGUCACUCUCUUAGAUCACAUGUCAUGUUGUGACCAGUCUCAUUGAAAGAGCUCUACAUAAGUUGAUCAACUUGUCACUGGGUUGCCCAGGACUUUCCUGGUUUUAGACUGAAGGGAGGUGGGAGCUGUCUCAUCCUGAGAACUCCUCAGUCCUGGACAAACCGGGAUGAUAGGUCACCCUACAUCCAUAUGGUGAGGAACUCAGCCCACUGGACAACAGUGAGCAAGAAACUAAGGCCUCUUACCAACAGCUGCACGAGGGAGCCACCUUGGGAGCAACUCCUCCAGCCCCAGUCAAGCCUUGGGAUGACGGCAGCCCCAGCUGACAGCUUGACAGAAACCUCAUGAAGACCCUGAUCCAGAACCACCCAGAUUGGUUAUGGAUUAUUUUCGUCGACAGUUCUUGGCGUAGUCGCAGCAGGGUUUCAGAGGAGCCCACCAGAGACCACCUGGAAUCUACACUGAGCCAGCAUUCGGUACCAAUAAGGGCCCAUUGAGCCCCCUGGAUCACUGCAUUCUUCAGGUGACCCUGGCUUAAGAAAUCACCACGGAAGAAGAAAAAUAUAUAUGUAUAUAGGUUACAGCAAGAGGGAAAAGUAAUACUUUUGGCAACUCUCUCCCAGUGGCUCAUAUAGCCUCUACUAUUUGUGCUAUAUGCCCAAAGUAUAAUCCGGAGAAGCCACUUCAUGAGUCACAAAGCCACUUUCCCUUCCUAAGGGACCCUUUGAGGUAUGACCAUUGGACUUUGUCCAAAUGCCACCAUCUCAAGGAUAAAUACAUCUUGUAAUGAUCUGUAUAUUCUCACAUUGUUUUGAGGCUUUUCCUUGCAGAAGAGUGAUGGCUUUAGAUAAAUUAUUAUUGAAAAGAAUAAAUUCCUGUUUGAGGAAUUCCUACCGAGUUACGUUGUGACUGGGAAACUCAUUUCACCGGAUAAAUAAUUGAAUCUAUUUGUAAUGUUUGGCAAAUAUUGCUGCAUUUCCACUGCACUUACCAUCCUCAAUCCUCAGGAUUCGUAGAAAGAACUAAUGGCACAACCAAAACUUAAUUGGCAAAGAUUUCAGAAGCAUUUACUCUCUCAUGGCCCAAAGCUCUUGUGCUAGCGCUCCUUAAUGUUAGAUCUACACAUUUUGUAAACAUCAGCUGUCUCCUUUUGAAAUAAUAAUAAAACAGCCUAUGCAAUUAGAUGAAGAAAUAUAUGAACCAAGCUUUGCUUAAGGGGUAUAUUAAAUUGUUGUCAUGGUCUUAUUGAGGUGCUUAAAGAAAUGAAAGAUUGGUAGCUGAUUCUUUCUCAGAGAGCUCCCAGAACUUAAGGAUCUUGGACUAUAACCUGGAGAGUUUAUUUAUUGAAAGAGACAUCAAAUAAGACUGUUUGCAGCCCUGUUGGAAGGGACCAUACCAGGAGGAGAAGAAGACGGCAUCUGUUGUAGACAGCUGUCCCAAGACUCCGGACCAGGCCUGUAUUCCUGACCUUAUAUCUCCUCAUUUAAACUUUUGUUAUGCUUAAACUGUAUACCUAUUUUAUAAUUUGUUUGGAAUACUAUCAUACUUAAAGAAAGGGAUUCAUUUGGAACAGACUGAUCUUGAAGGCCAGGAAUUUAUUGAGUGACUCCUAAUGGAACUCAAUGGUUAUGUGGAACAAAUCUUUGGCCUUGGCUACUGCCUGGAUGGCUAAAACACUACACCCUGAGUUUCCUUUAAAAGCAGAGAGGGAGUCAGGCUGAGUUAAAACCUGUUGCCAAUCUCCCUCUCUUUAAGGCCAGAUGGGCUCGUUCAGUGCUCCACUGGUAAGGCUAUAUUAGCAACUAUAUGUGCUUCUUCUUUGGGGCUAAAAGAUGUCGUUAUUACAUAUGGAAUCUCUGACUACAUUUACUCAAGAAGCCCUUAAUGAUAGUCAAGCAGGAAUACCCUUAUUUAAAUAGUGAAAUGUCUUUAAUGAGAAGGGCUGUCCUUCAAAACAGCAUGGCUUUAGAUAUUCUUACUGCAUCCCAAGGUGGUACAUAUACAAUCAUUCAGACUGAAUGCUGUGUUUUUAUAUGUGAUGAAUCUUCCAAUGUGUCAUCUCUGCUAAAGCACAUGAAGAAGCAAGUGGCUGCCUUAUGUGAAUCCUGCACCCCCUUUGAUUUGUUUGCUUGGCUCCCUUUUCAGUAUCAGUUCCCUUUUUCGAUCCGGAUUGCAAUUCCUAUUUCUAUUACUUAUUGGAAUCCUUGUACUGGUCAUAAUAUUCAAACUAAUUAUUGUUUUCUUUACUCGGUAUUGUAAGAGUAGCAUACAAACUAAAGUAAUGAUUGCUUGAUGGCUUAAAAUGGUCGAUCUAUCUUAUAAUCCUGGACAAAUUUCCUUUUCUGAUAAAGACUUUACCUAAGAACUCAUUUUAAACUAAUAUCUUCAAAAAUAUUGAAUUAUUAUUACUGUACUUGUUCUAUAAUCAUAUACAAUGUAAAUGCAAAAUGUCAUAGAGAAGCACAUAUACGUUUGUGAAACAAUCUAAAAUUAAUUAUAAAUUACAUGACAUAUGAAAUGCUUCCUCUGUUAAUACAUAUAUAUCCAUGCUUGUCCACUAUUUCCCACCAACGUGGAUGACUAAGCAAAUAAUGAGAUAAAAGCCUAGCACCGAGGGACAUGGUGGACCCAGGGCAGGCAGCAACCACCCUGGCACCGAGGGACAAUAUUUUGAUCAUCAAUGCUUUCUAUCGAAAGAUUAGAGAUCAAAAGGGGAAAAUGACAAAUAAAAAUGGCAAGCAAUAGUAUAUAUUGGAGAAUAUGAGGAAGCCAUUUGGUGUAAACCUAAUUCGGCCUGACCUUGUCUUUCCAAAAGUGGCUGACCGUGACUGUUGAGCAUGCAUUGUAUGUCUGCUUUAGAGAUUCCCUAUGGCAAGAACAAAGGCCCUUGAGAUAAAGGUGCAACUUCCCUCCCCCUCCCAACGUUGGCAUUCCCUUAAGGAUUAAGCAUCUUUCCUCAGGCUAGGAACUGAUUGCUGUGCUCACCUAUGACCACCCAGCUCGAGACAAUAGGCUUGCCUCCUGCUACGCCCUCUGAGAGAGCAGACCCACUGCCUGCUGUGUCCAUCAAGCGCUGUGCCAAUAGGGCAAUCUUGUGACUAUUGUAGGAGGGACAUUUCAAUCAUAUGUGAAACAUCCUGUAUGGGGGUGUAUGACCACUCUGUAUACCUCACUUCUUUGGUGACCUUUCUCCCUUUAGGAAGCAAGGCCCUUGGCCAUGGUCCUCAGAUUUCAGCUCAGAAUAAACUCACCCAAAUUUUCAUUUAUAGAUUGGUUAUGGAUUAUUUUCGUGGACAGGGAGAAAAACAAUUCCCUUGAAACUCACACCCAUUCAGGCAGAGAGUUAAUCAUCGUUGAUCAUUUAGUGCAGACCUCAUCAAUCUUAAAUAGCUUUGACAGCUGGAAAAAUUAAGAUUGUGUCAGGACUCCUGUUGGUUUUGAAAAGAUUAUAAAUUCUCUUAUUUCAAAAGGGCCAGGUGAAAGCUUUUUAAAUCCUGUCAAGAAUUUUAGCCUGUAUCCUGAGAGCAAUGGGUAGCCAUUGACUGGUUUUAAAAAAGGAGUGAUGACCUGAUCUGAUCUUUUGAUCUAGAAACAACCCCCUGGUUGGAAGGGCAGCUGUAGGGUUAGUGGUUAAUGAGACGG